UUAAGUUUCCUAAACUCCGCUAUAUUGUGGAGAUAGAUCGAUAUGUGUUUCAGAAUUUAGGGGCAGGGGGUGGACAAAGGUUGGCCUAGUUCUAUCCUACGGCUGCAGUUAAUCCUUGAAUGGCUCAGAAACAUUCUACAAAUUUAGCCCUGGUCAGAUGAUCCGGGGCUUCAGGUUGUUCAGCCCUAGUCGAGAUUCCUAUAACUUCUUUAUGCAUGUCAAUACAUAUAUA
RNAcentral lists this long non-coding RNA (232 nucleotides) under Carica papaya (papaya). RNAcentral's name for it is "long non-coding RNA (CPAP_LNC010211)". Lineage: Eukaryota; Viridiplantae; Streptophyta; Magnoliopsida; Brassicales; Caricaceae. The record is from RNAcentral.